GCUGACCUUAGUACGAGAGGACCGGGUUGGACUAGCCUCUAGUGAAUCUGUUGUUCCGCCAGGGGCAUUGCAGAGUAGCUACGCUGGGAAUAGAUAAGCGCUGAAAGCAUCUAAGUGCGAAACUAGCCACGAGAUGAGAGUUCCAUAUAGGACCGUAGGAGACUACUACGUCGAUAGGCUACAGAUGUAAAGGUGGCGACACCAUAGUCGAGUAGUACUAAUCAUCCGAGGCUUUCAAA
This 239-nucleotide ribosomal RNA is filed under the name Pedobacter frigidisoli. RNAcentral's name for it is "Pedobacter sp. RP-3-11 partial 23S ribosomal RNA". It matches the Rfam family "Bacterial large subunit ribosomal RNA", at positions 2671 to 2925 of the family's 2925-position model. The record is from RNAcentral. Lineage: Bacteria; Pseudomonadati; Bacteroidota; Sphingobacteriia; Sphingobacteriales; Sphingobacteriaceae.